CUCGUGGAGAUGCUCCCACAGCCAGGAACCUCUGCAGGGCAGCGGAACACCCGGCGGUGGAUGGGGGCCCCAGGAUGGAAGCACCGGGGUGGAUCCCGACCGGCAGUGUCAGGGUGGGUGUUUGCAGCCCGGUGCGCUGACAGCUCGUGAGGAAGAGGUGCGACCUAUGGAUGGGCUGUGGAUUGAGGGCUGGGUGGGCGAUGGGCACCACUGCACAAGGUGUCCGUGGAACGUGGGAUGCCGUUCUGUAAUUAAGCAAAUCCAGUGGAUAAGGCCUCUCUGGUGCGGUGAGAAAUACGUCGCGCGAUUCUCCAGAGAGCAGAUCUCUUGUGAAAAGCUUUUGAUUCACAGCUGCAGCAGCGGUGUCCUGCAAGCAGGAGCCUCCCACCAGCAGCACAGCGCAGCCGUACAGCCCCUGACCCGGCACGGAGAAUUCCUCCCAGUUCCUCAUCAAUCGAGGCAUUCUGGGUUCACAGUCUGCGCAUUUCCUUCUGAGCUCAGCGCUCCAGUGCUAUGCGAUGCUGGAGAAGGAAACACGAUUGUAACUCUCACGCUUUAGUGGGCGCACGGUGCAGUUUUCCUCACUAAUUUGGCUCAGAGGACAUAACAGAACACCUCUAUCUUCCGCCCCCAAUGGUUCUGCCCCACGAGGAGCACUGCAGUCCCAACGGAGCCCUUUAAUCUUUGGCCUCGCAACGCGCACGGACAUUUCCCUCGGGUUCCGCAGACACUGC
RNAcentral lists this long non-coding RNA (734 nucleotides) under Gallus gallus (chicken). Lineage: Eukaryota; Metazoa; Chordata; Aves; Galliformes; Phasianidae. The record is from RNAcentral.